RNAcentral lists this ribosomal RNA (130 nucleotides) under Alexandrium sp. RNAcentral describes it as "partial small subunit ribosomal RNA". It matches the Rfam family "Eukaryotic small subunit ribosomal RNA", at positions 1678 to 1808 of the family's 1831-position model. Lineage: Eukaryota; Dinophyceae; Gonyaulacales; Pyrocystaceae. The record is from RNAcentral.
GCUCCUACCGAUUGAGUGAUCCGGUGAAUAAUUCGGACUGCAGCAGUGUUCAGUUCUUGAACAUUGCAGUGGAAAGUUUAAUGAACCUUAUCACUUAGAGGAAGUAGAAGUCGUAACAAGGUUUCCGUAG